Molecule: ribosomal RNA, 445 nt
Filed under: uncultured Bellilinea sp.
Lineage: Bacteria; Bacillati; Chloroflexota; Anaerolineae; Anaerolineales; Anaerolineaceae
Description: bacterial SSU rRNA
Rfam family: Bacterial small subunit ribosomal RNA
Source: RNAcentral
GCACAAGCAGCGGAGCGUGUGGUUUAAUUCGAUGCUACACGAAGAACCUUACCAGGGUUUGACAUACAAGUAGUAGGAAAGGAAACUGGACCGACCCUUCGGGGAGCUUGUACAGGUGCUGCAUGGCUGUCGUCAGCUCGUGUCGUGAGAUGUUCGGUUAAGUCCGCUAACGAGCGCAACCCUCGCUGUGUGUUACAAGUGUCACACGGAACUGCCGGUCAUAAACCGGAGGAAGGUGGGGAUGACGUCAAGUCCUCAUGGCCUUUAUGACCAGGGCUACACACGUACUACAAUGGCCGGUGCAAAGGGCAGCGACACAGCGAUGUGAAGCCAAUCCCGAAAAGCCGGUCUCAGUCCGGAUUGGAGUCUGCAACUCGACUCCAUGAAGUUGGAAUCGCUAGUAAUCGCGGAUCAGCACGCCGCGGUGAAUACGUUCCCGGGCCUU